RNAcentral lists this long non-coding RNA (673 nucleotides) under Gallus gallus (chicken). RNAcentral describes it as "long non-coding RNA NONGGAT007796". The record is from RNAcentral. Lineage: Eukaryota; Metazoa; Chordata; Aves; Galliformes; Phasianidae.
CAGCAGCAGCAUGGACCUCUCCUUCAUGGCCGCGCAGCUUCCUGUUAUGGGAGGAGCCUUUAUGGACUCACCAAAUGAGGACUUUAGUACAGAGUACUCCUUGUUUAACUCAUCGGCCAAUGUCCAUGCAGCUUCUUCCAUGCAGAAUCCACCAGAAGAAACAUCCCGGUCUUCAAAUGAUGCCAUAUUGUUAUGGAUUGCGAUCAUAGCAACAAUUGGAAAUAUUGUGGUUGUGGGAGUGGUGUAUGCCUUCACGUUCUAGGAUGCCUGUCACUCCAAACACUGGAAGAGAGGAUAACUGCAGCAGUAUUUGUCAUGUGUAUGUAUGUAUGUGUGUAUAUAUACAUGUAUAUCUAUAUAAAUACGUAUAGGUAGGGACUUUGUUGAAUAAGUACUGCCACAAUCACAGAAAAGAAAUGCAAGUUAAUCAUCAUGAAUCUUGAUGGCAGAAGCUUUGGAUGUUAGGGCAAACUAUAUGAAGGUGAGAGCUCCAAUGGAGAACAGCACCAACACAACAUUUGUAUGGAAAUAUAAUGAAAGGCAGACCAGUGUGAUUAUAGUGGAUACAAAAAGAAAGUGAGAUUUAUACUGGAAGUGCUUAUUUUCUACUGUUGAGAUUUUUCUAGCAGCUUUUCUGGGUUUUGUCAAAUUUUUGUGCAUUUUUUUACUGUGG